CUAAUGCUUUAAAUGUUCCUCACUCUUUGCUUGCAGACUUUAAAUUAUUUGUGUGCUAUAGAAGAGGGAGAAGAUUUCAGAGGAUCUUUCUAUCUGGCACACAGGAUAUUGAAAGUUUAAUUGGAUGGAGAGGGGACAGAAAAAUCUGAAACCAGCUUUACAAGACAAAACGAAGUCUUGGGACUACAACCUGCUCAAGUGUCUGUGACAAAAAAAGUGGAGAUUCAGAUGCCUGAUAGCAUUGGUAAGGUUUAUCAGAUACUUAAAAAUAUUAUAUUGGGUAACUUUCUAAGCAAAAUUUUCAAAUAAACAGG
This 314-nucleotide long non-coding RNA is filed under the name Numida meleagris (helmeted guineafowl). Its description in RNAcentral is "lncRNA (ENSNMEG00000022340.1)". The record is from RNAcentral. Lineage: Eukaryota; Metazoa; Chordata; Aves; Galliformes; Numididae.